Long non-coding RNA from Sphaerodactylus townsendi, 851 nucleotides. RefSeq lists it as uncharacterized. NCBI's taxonomy places the organism in Eukaryota, Metazoa, Chordata, Lepidosauria, Squamata, Sphaerodactylidae. The record is from RefSeq and is a predicted model, not a curated record. The transcript is spliced from 2 exons.
ACCGCCUUGGCAGCCCUUUCUUCCUCUGAUUUAGUUGCUGCGAGGCUCCCCCCUCAAGCCGGCCUGUGGGCUUGAUGCUGGCCAGCUGAGGCCUCGUCUGCAGCUCCAUCCGGAGGGAGCUCCUGGACGAAGGGCCUCGUGCCCACGGCUCACUGCAGCCGGCCAGCCCAGGAGCAGCCCAGCACCCCCGGCUCCUUCCCGAGGCCCUCCUCUUCCCCUUUCCAGCCCGCCUGCUGCUGCCCUCCCUCCCCCCCUUGCAAAGUAGCUCCAGCUGUCAGUGGCCCAGAUUGGAAGUGCAGCGCACGUCAGCUCCAAUUGAAGGAAGCGUGGCGGGGAAGGGGAGAGCGCCGCUUUGCACAAGCCCAGACACCCCUCCGCAAUGGCGGGAGCUGACUCCCAGCCCCAAAAGCCAAGGGGCCCUCGGAUCCGCGGGAGCGAGCAGAGACAGCCGCCCUCGCGCACGCACUCCUGCCUUCUGGCUGCCCGUCCACGGCCACCUGCCCUUGUGACCCUGAGGACAGGAAGCAGCACACAAGCAGAGCCGUUUCAUCAACCUUCUGGGGGCAUCUUCCGGGGGCUGGAGGGAAGCCCGUGUGAGCUCAUCCUAUGUGUCAUGUUCACCUAUUGAUAUGUUAGCUAUAAUUUUUAUAUGGUUAUUCUAUACGGUUAUGUUAUACAAUACUGAUAAUAUUGAAGUUUUUGCUAUUCUGUAGUGCUCUGCUACUGUUGCUUGUGGAUCUGAGGAUGACUAUUGAUGCCUGUUGUUUAUAUCAAUGUCGUUCGCCGCCCUGAGCCCUGUGGGGAUAGGGCGGGAUACAAGUUGAAUAAGGAAAUAAAUUAAAAAAUUGUAA